Molecule: unclassified non-coding RNA, 433 nt
Filed under: soil metagenome
Description: partial contains 5.8S ribosomal RNA, internal transcribed spacer 2, and large subunit ribosomal RNA
Rfam family: 5.8S ribosomal RNA (bases 1-120)
Source: RNAcentral
GAUGAAGAACGUAGUGAAAUGCGAUACGUAAUGUGAAUUGCAGAAUUCAGUGAAUCAUCGAAUCUUUGAACGCAUAUUGCGCUCUCUGGUAUUCCGGAGAGCAUGCUUGUUUGAGUAUCAGUAAACACCUCAACUUCCAUAUCUUUUUUGAAAUGGGAGUUGGACUUGAGUGAUCCCAACGCUUUUCCUCACCGAAAAGUGGCGGGUUACUUGAAAUGCAGGUGCAGCUGGACUUUUCUCUGAGCUAUAAGCAUAUCUAUUUAGUCUGCCUAAAAAACAGAUUAUUACCUUUGCUGCAGCUAACAUAAAGGAGAUUAGUUCUUGUGCUGACUGAUGCAGGAUUCUCAAAGACAGGCUUCGGCCGACUUUGUAAACUCGAUCUCAAAUCAAGUAAGACUACCCGCUGAACUUAAGCAUAUCAAUAAGCGGAGGA